Molecule: ribosomal RNA, 639 nt
Filed under: uncultured bacterium
Lineage: Bacteria
Description: bacterial SSU rRNA
Rfam family: Bacterial small subunit ribosomal RNA
Source: RNAcentral
ACGCGGCGGCGUGCUACACCAUGCAAGUCGAGCGCGAAGCAAGGGAGCUUGCUCCUGGAUUCACGCGGCGCACGGGUGAGUAACACGUGGAUAAUCUACCCAUCAGUAAGGGAUACCAGUUGGAAACGACUGUUAAUACCAGGAUACGAUCCUUUUUUUACAUUAAGGGUGAAAGUGCGGUGCAAGCUGUCGCUGAUGUGACUGAGUCCGCGAUCUCAUUAGGUAGUUGGUACGGGUAACGGCCUACCAAGCCUGUGAUGAGUAGCCGGCCUGAGAGGGUGAACGGCCACACUGGGACUGGAACACGGCCCAGACUCCUACGGGAGGCAGCAGUGGGGAAUAUUGCGCAAUGGGCGAAAGCCUGACGCAGCGACGCCGCGUGAGAGGAUAGAAGGCCUUCGGGUCGUAAACCUCUGACCAAGAGGGAAGAAGUGUAAUGGGGAGUAACUGCCCUGUAUUUGACGGUACACUCACAGAGGAAGCACCGGCCUAACUCCGUGCCAGACAGCCGCGGUUAAUACGGAUGGUGCAAAGCGUUAAUCGGAACUUUACUGGGCGUAAAGACUGCGCGUUAGGCCUGUCUUGUACAGUCCAAGGUGUGAAUCCCAACAGCAUCAACCGGUGGAAAUUGCGCUUUGA